Non-coding RNA from Acanthosepion pharaonis, 113 nucleotides. The record is from the annotation of a GenBank genome assembly. Lineage: Eukaryota; Metazoa; Mollusca; Cephalopoda; Sepiida; Sepiidae.
UGCUGCCAUAUCACAUUGAAACAUCAGUUCUCUUACGAUCAACUAAGUUAAGCAAUGUUGAGCCUCGUCAGUACGUAUAUGAGUGACCGCUUGGGAAUACCAGGUGCUGUAAG